This 421-nucleotide long non-coding RNA is filed under the name Lathyrus oleraceus (garden pea). RNAcentral's name for it is "Pisum sativum (pea) long non-coding RNA (PSAT_LNC041328)". The record is from RNAcentral. Lineage: Eukaryota; Viridiplantae; Streptophyta; Magnoliopsida; Fabales; Fabaceae.
AUAUAAUAAUUAUGUGGUUUGCUCAUACAUCAUUUUAGCUUUUUAAUUAGCAUAUCAUAGUUUAUGAGAACUUUAUAUUUUGUUCAACAGUUUAAUAAGGACUCCAUCCGGCUUUUAGUUGGCUUCAGAGUCUCUCCGCAUUUAGUAAAUAAUUUUAUACUGUUGUAAAUAAUGCAGAGUUGCUUUUCUGCAAUAAAAUCAAAGUUUUAUUCUCGGAUUCGACAAUUUCAUGUCGUUAUGCCACCAAAGUCUCAAUAAAUUAAUAGAAUAUUUCACCGUGUUAUGAUAUUACGAAUGACAUUAAUCGUGUUGUCAUUUCGUACAAACCGGUUUUGAGCAUAUAUUCCAUUAAAAAAUCGACAAUGGUCACUUAUAUUCUUUAAUUAUAAUUGAAAUUAAUUAUUAAACUUUGACUAGUUAA